CCUACGGGUGGCAGCAGUGAGGAAUAUUGGACAAUGGAGGAGAGCCUGAUGCAGCGAAGCAGCGUGAGGGAAGAAUGAAUUAGGUGUGGAAAACUCUUUCAACAUGGGAGAAAAUUGCGGUACCUGAGUAAUAAGCCCCGUCUCACUACGUGCCAGCAGCGGCGGUAAUACGUAGGGGGCAAGCGUUAUCCGGAUUUACUGGGUGUAAAGGGGGCGUAGAGGGCAGAGCAAGUAUGGAGUGAAAGGUGGGGGCUCAACCCCCGGACUGCGAGUGAAACUGUACGGCUGGAGUGCAGGAGAGGUAAGCGGAAUUCGUAGUGUAGCGGUGAAAUGCGUAGAUAUCAGGAGGAACACCAGUGGCGAAGGCGGCUCACUGGACUGCAACUGACGCUGAGGCUCGAAAGUGUGGGGAGCAAACAGGAUUAGAUACCCUAGUAGUC
This 440-nucleotide ribosomal RNA is filed under the name uncultured bacterium. Its description in RNAcentral is "partial 16S ribosomal RNA". It matches the Rfam family "Bacterial small subunit ribosomal RNA", at positions 338 to 795 of the family's 1533-position model. The record is from RNAcentral.